RNAcentral lists this ribosomal RNA (257 nucleotides) under uncultured bacterium. Its description in RNAcentral is "partial 16S ribosomal RNA". It matches the Rfam family "Bacterial small subunit ribosomal RNA", at positions 338 to 609 of the family's 1533-position model. The record is from RNAcentral.
CCUACGGGGGGCAGCAGUGGGGAAUAUUGCACAAUGGGGGAAACCCUGAUGCAGCGACGCCGCGUGAGUGAAGAAGUAUUUCGGUAUGUAAAGCUCUGUCAGCAGGGAAGAAAGAAAUGACGGUACCUGACCAAGAAGCCCCGGCUAACUACGUGCCAGCAGCCGCGGUAAUACGUAGGUGGCAAGCGUUGUCCGGAUUUACUGGGUGUAAAGGGCGUGUAGCCGGGCCGGCAAGUCAGAUGUGAAAUCCCAAGGCU